CUCCGUGUUGUAGCUAACGCGUUAAGCACUCCGCCUGGGGACUACGGUCGCAAGACUAAAACUCAAAGGAAUUGACGGGGACCCGCACCAGCGGUGGAGCAUGUGGUUUAAUUCGAUGCAACGCGAAAAACCUUACCACUCCUUGACAUGGAGAUUAGAUCCUUCUUAACGGAAGGGCGCAGUUCGGCUGGAUCUCGCACAGGUGCUGCAUGGCUGUCGUCAGCUCGUGUCGUGAGAUGUUGGGUUAAGUCCCGCAACGAGCGUAACCCUCAUCCUUAGUUGCCAGCGGGUAAUGCCGGGCACUUUAAGGAAACUGCCGGUGGUAAACUGGAGGAAGGUGGGGAUGAUGUCAAGUCAGCACGGCCCUUAUGGGGUGGGCUACACACGUGCUACAAUGGUGACUACAAUAGGUUGCAAUGUCGCAAGGCUGAGCUAAUCCGUAAAAGUCAUCUCAGUUCGGAUUGUCCUCUGCAACUCGAGGGCAUGAAGUCGGAAUCGCUAGUAAUCGUGGAUCAGCAUGCCACGGUGAAUACGUUCUCGGGUCUUGUACACACUGCCCGUCACGCCAUGGGAAUUGGCUUAACUCGAAGCUGGUGCGC
Molecule: ribosomal RNA, 599 nt
Filed under: Anaplasma phagocytophilum
Lineage: Bacteria; Pseudomonadati; Pseudomonadota; Alphaproteobacteria; Rickettsiales; Anaplasmataceae
Description: bacterial SSU rRNA
Rfam family: Bacterial small subunit ribosomal RNA
Source: RNAcentral